RNAcentral lists this ribosomal RNA (497 nucleotides) under uncultured bacterium. RNAcentral's name for it is "partial 16S ribosomal RNA". It matches the Rfam family "Bacterial small subunit ribosomal RNA", at positions 28 to 507 of the family's 1533-position model. The record is from RNAcentral.
GAUGAACGCUGGCGGCGUGCCUAAUACAUGCAAGUCGAGCGAACGGACGAGAAGCUUGCUUCUCUGAUGUUAGCGGCGGACGGGUGAGUAACACGUGGAUAACCUACCUAUAAGACUGGGAUAACUUCGGGAAACCGGAGCUAAUACCGGAUAAUAUUUUGAACCGCAUUGUUCAAAAGUGAAAGACGGUCUUGCUGUCACUUAUAGAUGGAUCCGCGCUGCAUUAGCUAGUUGGUAAGGUAACGGCUUACCAAGGCAACGAUGCAUAGCCGACCUGAGAGGGUGAUCGGCCACACUGGAACUGAGACACGGUCCAGACUCCUACGGGAGGCAGCAGUAGGGAAUCUUCCGCAAUGGGCGAAAGCCUGACGGAGCAACGCCGCGGGAGUGAUGAAGGUCUUCGGAUCGUAAAACUCUGUUAUUAGGGAAGAACAUAUGUGUAAGUAACUGUGCACAUCUUGACGGUACCUAAUCAGAAAGCCACGGCUAACUACGUG